This 366-nucleotide ribosomal RNA is filed under the name uncultured bacterium. RNAcentral describes it as "partial 16S ribosomal RNA". It matches the Rfam family "Bacterial small subunit ribosomal RNA", at positions 338 to 721 of the family's 1533-position model. The record is from RNAcentral.
CCUACGGGAGGCAGCAGUAGGGAAUCUUGCGCAAUGGGCGAAAGCCUGACGCAGCCACGCCGCGUGAUCGAGACGCCCUUCGGGGUGUAAAGAUCUGUCAGUGGGGACGAACCUUGACGGUCCCCACAGCGGAAGCACCGGCUAACUCCGUACCAGCAGCCGCGGUACUACGGGGGGUGCAAGCGUUGUCCGGAAUCAUUGGGCGUAAGGAGUUCGUAGGCGGCACGUAAAUUCUGGGGGUAAAGGCAUAGGUUCAACUUGUGUACGGCAUUUGAUACUUGCGAGCUAGAAUGCGGUAGAGGUGAAGGGAAUGCCUGGUGUAGCGGUGAAAUGCGUAGAUAUCAGGAGGAACAUCGGUUGCGAAGG